AACUAACUAAAACAAAAACAUUAUUCACAUGGUUUAGAAAAGGUUUUUUUUAUCACAAAUUAUGAAAUUAGGCAGAACCACGUGAAAAUAAGACAAUGCAUUUUGUGCAAGGAUGUUCAGUGCUCAAACUAAGCUGUAACAUCACCUAUGUUGAAAACUUUAAAGCCUCUAAUCAUAAUAAAUAUCUAGAGAUAACACCAAAAUAUAGCAGCACUCAGGGAAGUUGUUGAGUGGUUGUCAGCUGGUUAAAAUGAAUAAUAGCACCUUAUAGUGCACCUAGAUUUUUGUAUUAAAACACCUUUUUGACAUUCAAUUGCUGCAUGCAGCCUUCAGAUCAACUUACACCUACCAACUUGAAGAAGGUGGUACUUAAAAGAAAUGCAAGAUUAUUAAAACAAACUCAGGACCUCUCAAUAAAGAAACAUAGGCUCACCCAGCCAUUAUAGAUGAGAUUAAACUUUGAAGCUAAAACUAAAUUAGAAUGAACCAUUUGAAUUCCGUAUAUGCAGAAAAAAGCUUGUAAUCAAGUGGCAUUUCAUUACCCUUGAUACACACAAAAUCAAUUGACAGUGACACCAGGAAACACAAAAACGCAGAAAGUGAAUGAUGUGUCAAGAU
RNAcentral lists this unclassified non-coding RNA (618 nucleotides) under Hevea brasiliensis (rubber tree). Lineage: Eukaryota; Viridiplantae; Streptophyta; Magnoliopsida; Malpighiales; Euphorbiaceae. The record is from RNAcentral.